CUCAAUGUCGGAGCAGCAAAAUGGUGUUAUCAGUGAUGUUAUUGUGAGAAUUAAUAAGGGGUGAGAGUGGAGUUCUUGUGGCGAAGGGAAAUGUUUGUUUGGGAAGAAGAAAAGUACCAGCACAUGCUACUUUAGUUAGAGGAGAUGAAGAUACAGUUCCAUGUGGAGGAUAGGUGGUGGUGGGAAGCAGAGAGUAGUGGAGAAUAUAGUGUGAGUUCGACAUAUUGCGCUUUACUGGAUCAGCAAGGUGUAGGGGAUGAUCGACCUG
Molecule: long non-coding RNA, 268 nt
Filed under: Glycine max (soybean)
Lineage: Eukaryota; Viridiplantae; Streptophyta; Magnoliopsida; Fabales; Fabaceae
Description: long non-coding RNA (GMAX_LNC002136)
Source: RNAcentral